GCUGAAGUGGCGGAAUUGGUAGACGCGCUAGGUUCAGGUCCUAGUCCUAGUUAAUAGGGUGGAGAUUCGAGUUCUCUCUUCAGCA
RNAcentral lists this transfer RNA (85 nucleotides) under Planctomycetia bacterium. RNAcentral describes it as "tRNA-Leu". It matches the Rfam family "tRNA". Rfam says of the family: Transfer RNA (tRNA) molecules are approximately 80 nucleotides in length. Their secondary structure includes four short double-helical elements and three loops (D, anti-codon, and T loops). The record is from RNAcentral. Lineage: Bacteria; Pseudomonadati; Planctomycetota; Planctomycetia.